Vicia villosa (hairy vetch) is the source of this 532-nucleotide long non-coding RNA. RefSeq lists it as uncharacterized. NCBI's taxonomy places the organism in Eukaryota, Viridiplantae, Streptophyta, Magnoliopsida, Fabales, Fabaceae. The record is from RefSeq and is a predicted model, not a curated record. The transcript has 2 exons.
UCACCAACACUGUAACCCGUGUUUUCCCAAAUUUUACUCUUGGUUUCUCUCAAAAAUGGCAACACAAACUUCCCCUUCUCUCUUCGGUUCCUUCUCCCUAUGAACAACAAAAUCUUCUUCUUCCUCUUCGUUUCUCUCUCUCGCACAAUAACAACACAUCAAACCCCAGCAACCCCAAACCAUUCCUCUCACUUCAAAUCAAAUCAAUAACAUAUGUUCAAUAAUCAUGCAAGCAUACGAAUCACAAUAUUGCAAGGCUAAGCAUGUACGAAGUUGGAUGAACCCGGUUCAAGGUUUUUUUGCGUUUUGCGGCAACGGAUCUCAGCACCUCUCCGAUUUUUCGUCCCCCCUCUUUCGUUCUAGGUUAAGAUUUCGUUUUAUAGCAUUAGGUUUUGAUUCAAUUAGGAAAUUAGAGAUUUGAUUUUGUUGUUAAUUCAGAGAUUCUAUUCAGAUUUGUUAUAAACUUGAUUUGUGUAAAUUUGACAUAAGAUUUGAUUUUCUUUAUAUUCUUUGAUGUCUGUUUUGAUUUUUA